CAUAUCAAUAAGCGGAGGAAAAGAAACUAACAGGAUUCCCCUAGUAACUGCGAGUGAAGCGGGAUAAGCUCAAAUUUAAAAUCUGGCAGUCUUUGGCUGUCCGAGUUGUAAUCUAGAGAAGUGUUAUCCGUCCUGGACCGUGUACAAGUCUCCUGGAAUGGAGCGUCAUAGAGGGUGAGAAUCCCGUCUUUGACACGGACUGCCAGGGCUUUGUGAUGCGCUCUCAAAGAGUCGAGUUGUUUGGGAAUGCAGCUCAAAAUGGGUGGUAAAUUCCAUCUAAAGCUAAAUAUUGGCGAGAGACCGAUAGCGAACAAGUACCGUGAGGGAAAGAUGAAAAGAACUUUGGAAAGAGAGUUAAACAGUACGUGAAAUUGCUGAAAGGGAAACGCUUGAAGUCAGUCGCGUUUGCCAGGGAUCAACCUUGCUUUUGCUUGGUGUACUUUCUGGUUAACGGGUCAGCAUCAAUUUUGAUUAUUGGAAAAAGAUUAGGGGAAUGUGACAUCUUCGGAUGUGUUAUAGCCUUUAGUUGUAUACAAUAGUUAGGAUUGAGGAACUCAGCACGCCGCAAGGCCGGGUUUUAACCACGUACGUGCUUAGGAUGCUGGCAUAAUGGCUUUAAUCGACCCGUCUUGAAACACGGACCAAGGAGUCUAACAUACCUGCGAGUGUUUGGGUGGAAAACCCGAGCGCGUAAUGAAAGUGAAAGUUGAGAUCCUUGUCAUGAGGAGCAUUGACGCCCGGACCUGACCUUUUGUGACGGCCCCGCGGUAGAGCAUGUAUGUUGGGACCCGAAAGAUGGUGAACUAUGCCUGAAUAGGGUGAAGCCAGAGGAAACUCUGGUGGAGGCUCGUAGCGAUUCUGACGUGCAAAUCGAUCGUCAAAUUUGGGUAUAGGGGCGAAAGACUAAUCGAAUCAUCUAGUAGCUGG
RNAcentral lists this ribosomal RNA (927 nucleotides) under Cortinarius sp. PDD 112389. RNAcentral's name for it is "partial large subunit ribosomal RNA". It matches the Rfam family "Eukaryotic large subunit ribosomal RNA", at positions 39 to 954 of the family's 3401-position model. Lineage: Eukaryota; Fungi; Basidiomycota; Agaricomycetes; Agaricales; Cortinariaceae. The record is from RNAcentral.